CGGUAACUCACGGGGUGCGCACAGUAAGCGCUGAGAGUAAGCAUGGCUUAAAACCCGUAGACCUGAUCCAGAUAAUGCUGGCGUAGGGAUUGAGCAGUCAAUAGAUA
RNAcentral lists this non-coding RNA (107 nucleotides) under Vibrio hippocampi. Its description in RNAcentral is "TPP". It matches the Rfam family "TPP riboswitch aptamer (THI element)". Rfam says of the family: Vitamin B(1) in its active form thiamin pyrophosphate (TPP) is an essential coenzyme that is synthesised by coupling of pyrimidine and thiazole moieties in bacteria. The record is from RNAcentral. Lineage: Bacteria; Pseudomonadati; Pseudomonadota; Gammaproteobacteria; Vibrionales; Vibrionaceae.